GGUGCUGUGGCUUAGCUGGUCAAAGCGCCUGUCUUGUAAACAGGAGAUCGUGGGCUCAAAUCCCAGCAGCGCCU
Danio rerio (zebrafish) is the source of this 74-nucleotide non-coding RNA. Lineage: Eukaryota; Metazoa; Chordata; Actinopteri; Cypriniformes; Danionidae. The record is from Rfam.